RNAcentral lists this ribosomal RNA (412 nucleotides) under uncultured bacterium. RNAcentral's name for it is "bacterial SSU rRNA". It matches the Rfam family "Bacterial small subunit ribosomal RNA", at positions 541 to 952 of the family's 1533-position model. The record is from RNAcentral.
UUGUCCGGAAUUACUGGGUGUAAAGGGAGUGUAGGCGGGAAGGCAAGUCAGAAGUGAAAAUUAUGGGCUUAACCCAUAACCUGCUUUUGAAACUGUUUUUCUUGAGUGAGGCAGAGGCAAGUGGAAUUCCUAGUGUAGCGGUGAAAUGCGUAGAUAUUAGGAGGAACACCAGUGGCGAAGGCGGCUUGCUGGGCCUUUACUGACGCUGAGGCACGAAAGCGUGGGUAGCAAACAGGAUUAGAUACCCUGGUAGUCCACGCUGUAAACGAUGAUUACUAGGUGUGGGGGGUCUGACCCCUUCCGUGCCGGAGUUAACACAAUAAGUAAUCCACCUGGGGAGUACGGCCGCAAGGUUGAAACUCAAAGGAAUUGACGGGGGCCCGCACAAGCAGUGGAGUAUGUGGUUUAAUUC